This 253-nucleotide ribosomal RNA is filed under the name uncultured bacterium. Its description in RNAcentral is "partial 16S ribosomal RNA". It matches the Rfam family "Bacterial small subunit ribosomal RNA", at positions 524 to 776 of the family's 1533-position model. The record is from RNAcentral.
GACAGAGGAUGCAAGCGUUAUCCGGAAUGAUUGGGCGUAAAGCGUCUGUAGGUGGCUUUUUAAGUCUGCCGUCAAAUCCCAGGGCUUAACCCUGGACAGGCGGUGGAAACUACCAAGCUGGAGUACGGUAGGGGCAGGGGGAAUUUCCGGUGGAGCGGUGAAAUGCGUAGAGAUCGGAAAGAACACCAACGGCGAAAGCACUCUGCUGGGCCGACACUGACACUGAGGUGCGAAAGCGUGGGGAGCAAACAGG